UUUAUUUGUAUGUCUUUCUCUCACAGUCAGAGCAGAUAUUUUAAAGAUGUUUUAAAUACAUUCCUGGAUUCAUCUGCAGCAGAGCUGAAGCUGGCUGAGCUGUUACUGUGGGAGCGUUUAGCUGGAAUUCAAAGAACUGAGAAACUCUUGUCCGUCACAUGUUCCUGUCAGAGGUCACAGUGAAAGCCUUCACGUGUUGUUGGGUUGACAGAAUCUCCUGUGCUGCCACCUGCUGGUGAAGAUCUGUCAGAGGGCUUCAUACACCAAUCACUGUAAGCAUGUUACUAAAUUAUAACCUUGAUGACGUAAACCACACACACACACACACACACA
Haplochromis burtoni (Burton's mouthbrooder) is the source of this 333-nucleotide long non-coding RNA. RefSeq lists it as uncharacterized. The transcript has 2 exons. Lineage: Eukaryota; Metazoa; Chordata; Actinopteri; Cichliformes; Cichlidae. The record is from RefSeq and is a predicted model, not a curated record.